CUCGUAGGCGGUUCGAUAAGUCGGCUGUGAAAUCUCCACGCUUAACGUGGAGGGGUCAGUCGAUACUGUCGUGACUCGAGUCCGGUAGGGGAGAAUGGAGUUCCCGGUGUAGCGGUGAAAUGCGCAGAGAUCGGGAGGAACACCCGUAGCGAAGGCGGUUCUCUGGGCCGGUACUGACGCUGAGGAGCGAAAGCGUGGGGAGCAAACA
RNAcentral lists this ribosomal RNA (208 nucleotides) under uncultured bacterium. RNAcentral describes it as "partial 16S ribosomal RNA". It matches the Rfam family "Bacterial small subunit ribosomal RNA", at positions 568 to 774 of the family's 1533-position model. The record is from RNAcentral.